GACGAACGCUGGCGGCGUGCUUAACACAUGCAAGUCGAACGGAAAGGCCCUGCUUUUGUGGGGUGCUCGAGUGGCGAACGGGUGAGUAACACGUGAGUAACCUGCCCUUGACUUUGGGAUAACUUCAGGAAACUGGGGCUAAUACCGGAUAGGAGCUCCUGCUGCAUGGUGGGGGUUGGAAAGUUUCGGCGGUUGGGGAUGGACUCGCGGCUUAUCAGCUUGUUGGUGGGGUAGUGGCUUACCAGGGCUUUGACGGGUAGCCGGCCUGAGAGGGUGACCGGCCACAUUGGGACUGAGAUACGGCCCAGACUCCUACGGGAGGCAGCAGUGGGGAAUAUUGCACAAUGGGCGGAAGCCUGAUGCAGCAACGCCGCGUGCGGGAUGACGGCCUUCGGGUUGUAAACCGCUUUCGCCUGUGACGAAGCGUGAGUGACGGUAAUGGGUAAAGAAGCACCGGCUAACUACGUGCCAGCAGCCGCGGUGAUACGUAGGGUGCGAGCGUUGUCCGGAUUUAUUGGGCGUGAAGGGCUCGUAGGUGGUUGAUCGCGUCGGAAGUGUAAUCUUGGGGCUUAACCCUGAGCGUGCUUUCGAUACGGGUUGACUUGAGGAAGGUAGGGGAGAAUGGAAUUCCUGGUGGAGCGGUGGAAUGCGCAGAUAUCAGGAGGAACACCAGUGGCGAAGGCGGUUCUCUGGGCCUUUCCUGACGCUGAGGAGCGAAAGCGUGGGGAGCGAACAGGCUUAGAUACCCUGGUAGUCCACGCUGUAAACGGUGGGUACUAGGUGUGGGGUCCAUUCCACGGGUUCCGUGCCGUAGCUAACGCUUUAAGUACCCCGCCUGGGGAGUACGGCCGCAAGGCUAAAACUCAAAGGAAUUGACGGGGCCCCGCACAAGCGGCGGAGCAUGCGGAUUAAUUCGAUGCAACGCGUAGAACCUUACCUGGGUUUGACAUGGAUCGGGAGCGCUCAGAGAUGGGUGUGCCUCUUUUGGGGUCGGUUCACAGGUGGUGCAUGGCUGUCGUCAGCUCGUGUCGUGAGAUGUUGGGUUAAGUCCCGCAACGAGCGCAACCCUUGUUCACUGUUGCCAGCACGUUAUGGUGGGGACUCAGUGGAGACCGCCGGGGUCAACUCGGAGGAAGGUGGGGAUGACGUCAAGUCAUCAUGCCCCUUAUGUCCAGGGCUUCACGCAUGCUACAAUGGCUGGUACAGAGAGUGGCGAGCCUGUGAGGGUGAGCGAAUCUCGGAAAGCCGGUCUCAGUUCGGAUUGGGGUCUGCAACUCGACCUCAUGAAGUCGGAGUCGCUAGUAAUCGCAGAUCAGCAACGCUGCGGUGAAUACGUUCCCGGG
RNAcentral lists this ribosomal RNA (1343 nucleotides) under uncultured bacterium. RNAcentral describes it as "16S ribosomal RNA". It matches the Rfam family "Bacterial small subunit ribosomal RNA", at positions 28 to 1378 of the family's 1533-position model. The record is from RNAcentral.